AUGAAAAGCAAGGUGGUGAUACAUGUGAAGCGUUGGACACCACCAGCGGAGGAAUGGAUUAAAAUAAAUGUUGAUGGCUCUUUCAAAGCGACAAAUUGGAAUGGCGGGUGGGGCGCUGUGCCUCGAAACCAUGAUGGAGAGGUGGUAUCUUGCGCUGCAGGUUUUCUUCCAAACAUUCAAAGUGCUUUGCACUCUGAGGUGCUUGCCACUGAAGCUGGGCUUAGACUAGCGGCGGAGUUGGGAGUUCUGAAGGUUGUGUUAGAAACUGAUGCACUACUACUGAAGGAAGCACUUGAAGAGGAGGGUAUCAAUUUCUCCUGUUUGGGGGUUGUAUUUGAUCGGCUCAAAACUUUUAUUCGUAGCCAGUUCAUGGGGUAUAAGAUUGAGUACUGCCCCAGAAUAUGUAAUCAAGUAGCGCAUGCUUUGGCUGCGAAGGGAGCGCUUAUUGCCGGUGUGCCUGACUCUGUAUCUGACGGAUGUGAUCCAUGUGUAUCUGCUCUGGUGGCAAGUGACUGCGCUUCG
This 522-nucleotide ribosomal RNA is filed under the name Triticum aestivum (bread wheat). RNAcentral describes it as "partial small subunit ribosomal RNA". The record is from RNAcentral. Lineage: Eukaryota; Viridiplantae; Streptophyta; Magnoliopsida; Poales; Poaceae.